RNAcentral lists this transfer RNA (67 nucleotides) under Marmota monax (woodchuck). RNAcentral describes it as "tRNA.Ala". It matches the Rfam family "tRNA", at positions 6 to 65 of the family's 71-position model. Rfam says of the family: Transfer RNA (tRNA) molecules are approximately 80 nucleotides in length. The record is from RNAcentral. Lineage: Eukaryota; Metazoa; Chordata; Mammalia; Rodentia; Sciuridae.
GGCUGUGACUCAGUUGUAGAGCACUUGCCUAGCAUGCAUGAGGCACUGGGUUCGAUCCCCAGCACCA